RNAcentral lists this ribosomal RNA (298 nucleotides) under Tremella fuciformis. RNAcentral's name for it is "partial large subunit ribosomal RNA". It matches the Rfam family "Eukaryotic large subunit ribosomal RNA", at positions 87 to 379 of the family's 3401-position model. Lineage: Eukaryota; Fungi; Basidiomycota; Tremellomycetes; Tremellales; Tremellaceae. The record is from RNAcentral.
CGGCGAGCGAACCGGGAAGAGCUCAAAUUUGAAAUCUGGCGUCCUCCGGGCGUCCGAGUUGUAAUCUACAGAGGCGUUUUCCGCGCCGGUCCGCGUCCAAGUCCCUUGGAACAGGGUAUCGAAGAGGGUGACAAUCCCGUGCUUGACGCGACCGCCGGUGCUAUGUGAUGCGUCUUCUAAGAGUCGAGUUGUUUGGGAAUGCAGCUCAAAACGGGUGGUAAAUUCCAUCUAAGGCUAAAUAUUGGCGAGAGACCGAUAGCGAACAAGUACCGUGAGGGAAAGAUGAAAAGCACUUUGG